CAACCUCAACUCAUAUGGGACUACCCCCUGAAUUUAAGCAUAUUAAUUAGGGGAGGAAAAGAAACUAACAAGGAUUUUCUUAGUAGCGGCGAGCGAAAAGAAAACAGUUCAGCACUAAGUCACUUUGUCUAUAUGGCAAAUGUGAGAUGCAGUGUAUGGAGCGUCAAUAUUCUAGUAUGAGAAAUUAAUGAUUUAAGUCCUUCUUAAAUGAGGCCAUUUACCCAUAGAGGGUGCCAGGCCCGUAUAACGUUAAUGAUUGCUAGAUGAUGUUUCCAAAGAGUCGUGUUGCUUGAUAGUGCAGCACUAAGUGGGUGGUAAACUCCAUCUAAAACUAAAUAUAACCAUGAGACCGAUAGUAAACAAGUACCGUGAGGGAAAGUUGAAAAGAACUCUGAAUAGAGAGUUAAACAGUACGUGAAACU
This 422-nucleotide non-coding RNA is filed under the name Drosophila sechellia. RNAcentral's name for it is "Eukaryotic large subunit ribosomal RNA". It matches the Rfam family "Eukaryotic large subunit ribosomal RNA", at positions 1 to 406 of the family's 3401-position model. Lineage: Eukaryota; Metazoa; Arthropoda; Insecta; Diptera; Drosophilidae. The record is from Rfam by way of RNAcentral.